GACGAACGCUGGCGGCGUGCUUAACACAUGCAAGUCGAACGGAAAGGCCCUGCUUUUGUGGGGUGCUCGAGUGGCGAACGGGUGAGUAACACGUGAGUAACCUGCCCUUGACUUUGGGAUAACUUCAGGAAACUGGGGCUAAUACCGGAUAGGAGCUCCUGCUGCAUGGUGGGGGUUGGAAAGUUUCGGCGGUUGGGGAUGGACUCGCGGGUUAUCAGCUUGUUGGUGGGGUAGUGGCUUACCAAGGCUUUGACGGGUAGCCGGCCUGAGAGGGUGACCGGCCACAUUGGGACUGAGAUACGGCGCAGACUCCUACGGGAGGCAGCAGUGGGGAAUAUUGCACAAUGGGCGGAAGCCUGAUGCAGCAACGCCGCGUGCGGGAUGACGGCCUUCGGGUUGUAAACCGCUUUCGCCUGUGACGAAGCGUGAGUGACGGUAAUGGGUAAAGAAGCACCGGCUAACUACGUG
Molecule: ribosomal RNA, 468 nt
Filed under: uncultured bacterium
Lineage: Bacteria
Description: partial 16S ribosomal RNA
Rfam family: Bacterial small subunit ribosomal RNA
Source: RNAcentral